UACGUAGGGGGCAAGCGUUGUCCGGAUUUAUUGGGCGUAAAGAGCGUGUAGGCGGUCAGGUAGGUCCGUUGUGAAAAUUCGAGGCUCAACCUCGAGACGCCGAUGGAAACCAUCUGACUAGAGUCCGGAAGAGGAGAGUGGAAUUCCUGGUGUAGCGGUGAAAUGCGCAGAUAUCAGGAAGAACACCCGUGGCUAAGGCGGCUCUCUAGUACGGUACUGACGCUGAGACGCGAAAGCGUGGGGAGCGAACAGG
This 253-nucleotide ribosomal RNA is filed under the name uncultured bacterium. Its description in RNAcentral is "partial 16S ribosomal RNA". It matches the Rfam family "Bacterial small subunit ribosomal RNA", at positions 524 to 776 of the family's 1533-position model. The record is from RNAcentral.